AUCAUCAUCAUCAUCAACAUCAUCCCUAUCAUCAUCUUCAAGUCCACUAAAGUGGUAAUCUAUAUGUUGUUGUUCGGUGACCAAUUUCACAUGUGGCUCGAGGUUUUCAAGAGAUUUAAGAGCCUUCUUGAAGAAGCAUAACUGAGCAGCAUGGUGUCGUGCAGCCUGUGUAAGAAGACUUCUAGAUUGUCCUUGCUUUAGGGAUUU
RNAcentral lists this unclassified non-coding RNA (207 nucleotides) under Hevea brasiliensis (rubber tree). Lineage: Eukaryota; Viridiplantae; Streptophyta; Magnoliopsida; Malpighiales; Euphorbiaceae. The record is from RNAcentral.